Molecule: long non-coding RNA, 388 nt
Organism: Hyla sarda
Lineage: Eukaryota; Metazoa; Chordata; Amphibia; Anura; Hylidae
Exons: 3
Source: RefSeq, a predicted model, not a curated record
CCGACCAAUAAGAUGAGCUUCUGAGGCUACCGGCGCGCUAUCCCUUUGCUUCUAGUCGGCAGGGUGACGUCACGAGGGCGAACGUUACCAUAGAGAGAGCGAUGAAUGGGCGCCAUGUGGUUCCUGCUGCAGAGAUCUGAACAAUCUUCUGGUUACUGUAUGUUCGUGCCCUGGGAGACUACCCCGGCCGGCGGUGUCUGCAACCAGUUUCUGCAUGAACUAGAGGUUGGAGCCGAAGACCUCUGGUGCUGCAGCGACCUUCUUGAGAUACUGCAUCCAAAUACUACGGUCUUAUGUUAAUUGAUAAAAUGUAUCACAUGUGUUUUGGAAUGUGCACUACGGGGGAGGGCUCUGGGAGCAGGAUGAUGUGUAUUGUAUGUGAAUAGCG